This 347-nucleotide ribosomal RNA is filed under the name Friesea japonica. Its description in RNAcentral is "SSU rRNA". It matches the Rfam family "Eukaryotic small subunit ribosomal RNA", at positions 594 to 945 of the family's 1831-position model. The record is from RNAcentral. Lineage: Eukaryota; Metazoa; Arthropoda; Collembola; Poduromorpha; Neanuridae.
AUAGCGUAUAUCAGAAUUGUUGUGGUUAAAAAGCUCGUAGUUGGAUCUCGGUUUCAGAUUGAUGGUGCAUCUUGUGGUGUUUACUAUUGAUUUGGACGAUUUUAUUGGUUCGUUUAUAGUUCUCUUAAUCGAGUGCUUUAAGUGGCCAGUACGUUUACUUUGAAAAAAUUGGAGUGCUCAAAGCAGGCGCUACAGCCUGAACAUUAGUGCAUGGAAUAAUGGAAUAGGAUCUCGGUUCUAUUUCGUUGGCUUUCGGAGUCGAGGUAAUGAUUAAUAGGGACAGACGGGGGCAUUCGUACUGCGACGUUAGAGGUGAAAUUCUUGGAUCGUCGCAAGACGAACUACUG